Molecule: long non-coding RNA, 659 nt
Organism: Venturia canescens
Lineage: Eukaryota; Metazoa; Arthropoda; Insecta; Hymenoptera; Ichneumonidae
Exons: 2
Source: RefSeq, a predicted model, not a curated record
GAUAAAUAGAUUUUUUCCUUUUGAUGCCAGACUUGGGAGUCGGUGCAGUAUUUUCUUUGUCAAAAUCCUCAUCCAAUUCCGGGUCCAGUGGCUUAGAUUUCACCUGCGCAGCUGUCAAUUUUUCCUGAGUUUUGUGACAUUGCUCGUGGAAGUCACACAAAAAUUCCAACGCUCCGAGACAUCUAAUGCAGACAUUGUGAGGCAAUCCGUCAGCUUCGCUUAUCUACAAAAUCAGGAGGAAAUGAGGUAAUGAAAAAUUUCUGGGUUUUUUGUUAAUAAAAAGUGCAGUUGAGUGGUUGAUUCAUGCAAACACAGGAACUUCUUCACAUCUAAAGUGUGACCCGAAUUUUGAGUUUCAAAACAAGGUAAGGUGCAAGAGAAAACAAAAAUGAUUAUUCUCGAAAAAUAUCAUAGCUUUAUUCGUGUAAACAUUGGAAUAUUUAAAUGAGCAUGUCGUUGAAAAAAAAUCUUAAUUAUCCCUCCACUCUCCGAUCUCACUUAUACGUUUUUUCCCUUAAUUCAUCACUUAGGAAACUAACUUAUUCAUAAUCACACAUUAUUUUUCUUUUUAAUUUAUCCUCCAUGCAUUUUCUAACGAGAGAAAUAUAGACUACUGUUUUAUUUUCUCCGUCGCGUCUAUAUCAUCAAUAAAGUUGGAG